AUUGAACGCUGGCGGCAGGCCUAACACAUGCAAGUCGAACGAGUGGCGGACGGGUGAGUAAUGUCUGGGAAACUGCCUGAUGGAGGGGGAUAACUACUGGAAACGGUAGCUAAUACCGCAUACCAUCAGAUGUGCCCAGAUGGGAUUAGCUAGUUGGUGGGGUAACGGCUCACCAAGGCGACGAUCCCUAGCUGGUCUGAGAGGAUGACCAGCCACACUGGAACUGAGACGCGGUCCAGACUCCUACGGGAGGCAGCAGUGGGGAAUAUUGCGCAAUGGGCGAAAGCCGGAUGCAGCCAUGCCGCGUGUAUGAAGAAGGCCUUCGGGUUGUAAAGUUCUUUCAGCGGGGAGGCGGUACCCGAAGAAGAAGCAACGGCUAACUCCGUGCCAGCCGCCGCGGUAAUUC
This 406-nucleotide ribosomal RNA is filed under the name uncultured bacterium. RNAcentral describes it as "partial 16S ribosomal RNA". It matches the Rfam family "Bacterial small subunit ribosomal RNA", at positions 30 to 526 of the family's 1533-position model. The record is from RNAcentral.